GAUGAACGCUAGCGGCAGGCUUAAUACAUGCAAGUCGUGGGGCAGCAGGUUUGUAGCAAUACAGAUGCUGGCGACCGGCAAACGGGUGCGGAACACGUACAGAACCUUCCUUUGAGCGGGGAAUAGCCCAGAGAAAUUUGGAUUAAUACCCCAUAGUAUAAUGAAGUGGCAUCACUUUAUUAUUAAAGAUUUAUCACUCGAAGAUGGCUGUGCGGCUGAUUAGGUAGUUGGCGGGGUAAAGGCCCACCAAGCCUGCGAUCAGUAACUGGUGUGAGAGCACGACCAGUCACACGGGCACUGAGACACGGGCCCGACUCCUACGGGAGGCAGCAGUAAGGAAUAUUGGUCAAUGGAGGCAACUCUGAACCAGCCAUGCCGCGUGGAGGAUGAAGGUCCUCUGGAUUGUAAACUUCUUUUAUAUGGGACGAAAAAAGGCUUUUCUAAGUCGUCUGACGGUACCAUAUGAAUAAGCACCGGCUAACUCCGUGCCAG
RNAcentral lists this ribosomal RNA (492 nucleotides) under uncultured bacterium. Its description in RNAcentral is "bacterial SSU rRNA". It matches the Rfam family "Bacterial small subunit ribosomal RNA", at positions 28 to 511 of the family's 1533-position model. The record is from RNAcentral.